GGUCAGGACGAACGCUGGCGGCGUGCUAACACAUGCAAGUCGAGCGAUGAAGCUUCUUCGGAAGUGGAUUAGCGGCGGACGGGUGAGUAACACGUGGGUAACCUGCCUCAUAGAGGGGAAUAGCCUUCCGAAAGGAAGAUUAAUACCGCAUAAGAUUGUAAUAUUGCAUGAUAUAGCAAUUAAAGGAGUAAUCCGCUAUGAGAUGGACCCGCGUCGCAUUAGCUAGUUGGUGAGGUAACGGCUCACCAAGGCGACGAUGCGUAGCCGACCUGAGAGGGUGAUCGGCCACAUUGGGACUGAGACACGGCCCAGACUCCUACGGGAGGCAGCAGUGGGGAAUAUUGCACAAUGGGGGAAACCCUGAUGCAGCCAACGCCGCGUGAGUGAUGACGGUCUUCGGAUUGUAAAGCUCUGUCUUCAGGGACGAUAAUGACGGUACCUGAGGAGGAAGCCACGGCUAACUACGUGCCAGCCGCUGC
This 479-nucleotide ribosomal RNA is filed under the name uncultured bacterium. RNAcentral describes it as "bacterial SSU rRNA". It matches the Rfam family "Bacterial small subunit ribosomal RNA", at positions 22 to 518 of the family's 1533-position model. The record is from RNAcentral.